GAUGAAGAACGUAGCGAAAUGCGAUACGUAAUGUGAAUUGCAGAAUUCAGUGAAUCAUCGAGUCUUUGAACGCACAUUGCGCCCCCUGGUAUUCCGGGGGGCAUGCCUGUCCGAGCGUCAUUUACAAAUUCAAGCUCAGCUUGGUGAUGGGUGUCUGUCCCGCCUUUGCGCGUGGACUCGCCUCAAAUGCAGUUGGCAGCUUAUCCCUCGGCUCUAAACGCAGCAGAUUUGCGUCGAGCGUCGUGUGGACGGGCUCUCCAGUAAGCAAACCCCCCAAAAUUGACCUCGGAUCAGGUAGGGAUACCCGCUGAACUUAAGCAUAUCAAUAAGCGGAGGA
RNAcentral lists this unclassified non-coding RNA (337 nucleotides) under soil metagenome. RNAcentral describes it as "partial contains 5.8S ribosomal RNA, internal transcribed spacer 2, and large subunit ribosomal RNA". The stretch from base 1 to 120 matches the Rfam family "5.8S ribosomal RNA", at positions 35 to 154 of the family's 154-position model. The record is from RNAcentral.